Non-coding RNA from Acanthosepion pharaonis, 113 nucleotides. NCBI's taxonomy places the organism in Eukaryota, Metazoa, Mollusca, Cephalopoda, Sepiida, Sepiidae. The record is from the annotation of a GenBank genome assembly.
UUACGGCCACGUCACAGUAAAAACACCGGUUCACAUACAAUCAACAGUUAAGCAAUAUCGAGCGUGAUCAGUGCCUUGAUGGGUGACUGCUUGGGAAUACAAAGUGUUGUAAG